The sequence is a small nuclear RNA, 161 nucleotides long. Its record names the gene U1. It matches the Rfam family "U1 spliceosomal RNA". From Rfam's summary of the family: U1 is a small nuclear RNA (snRNA) component of the spliceosome (involved in pre-mRNA splicing). The record is from Ensembl.
AUACUUACCUGGCAGGGGAGAUACCAUGAUCAAGGAGGCAGUUCACCCAGGGUGAGGCUCAUCCAUUGCACUUCAGUUGUGCUGAUCCUUGCAAAUUCCCCAAAUGUGGGAAUCGUGGCUGCAUAAUUUCUGGUAGUGGGGGACUGAUAUUUGGGCCAGUG